UAAUAAAAAGAUAGAAAAAGUGGACGCUGAAAGAAUGCAGCAACCCACCAGCUCAAUUGCUCCAUGGCACCAACUCUGCUAUUACCCACUUCCAAUCCCUAAACUUCAAAACCCUAGUCUCCACUGUCACAAUCACCAUUUCCCCAAAAUUUGCUCUUACCACCAACCAAUCUAUCAUCAAAACGAACCCAUCAUCAAACCCAACUCAAAUCACAGCCCAUUAAACAAAACCCCCACAGAUUUAUACUCUCUUUACUCAAGUUGUAGCAAAGAUCAAGAAACCAAGAACCCAAACAACCGCACUUCAUACCCUCAUCAAAAUCAAAUCUUUUUAGAACAGGCUUGCAAUUCAGAUCAAGAUAAGAAAACCCAACUCAAACUAGCCCAAAAGGUGGUGGAUAAGGAUUGUUUGGAUUUGGAGAGUAGAGUAACUGUGAGAAAUAUGUGGUGGGAUAAUAUUAUAGCUGCUAUAGGGCAAAGAUUUAACUUGGAGGGGAUUAAGUGUUCAGUUGGGGUGUUUGUUAAGGAUAGGCAUUUGCUAGUGCCUCAUGUUGCUGUGCCUGAUAUAAGGUCCAUUGAUUGGGGGGAAUUGAAAAGGAGAGGCUUUGAAGGGGUUGUUUUUGAUAAGGAUAAUACUUUGACAGUUCCUUAUUCUUUGUCAUUGUGGGGACCUAUUCGUUCGUCUGUCGAAGAUUGUAAAUCUGUAUUUGGUAGUAAUAUCGCGGUUUUUAGUAAUUCUGCUGGACUUCAUCAGUAUGAUCCUGACGGUAGGAAAGCAAGAGCGGUGGAGUUUAAGAUUGGAAUCAAAGUUGUAAGGCAUAAGGUGAAGAAGCCAGCUGGAUCAGCUGAAGAGAUUGAGAAACAUUUUGGAUGUGAUUCUACAAGGCUGAUUAUGGUUGGUGAUCGAGCAUUCACAGAUGUUGUCUAUGGAAAUCGAAAUGGUUUUCUCACAAUUUUAACUAAUCCAUUAAGUCUUGCUGAGGAGCCUUUAAUUGUUAGGCAGAUGUUGAUUAAAAUUCUCAUGGAAAGCAAAAGAUGAAAUAAGGUUAUAUAAAUGGGAAAAUGUUUCUGCUCUCUAAAAAAUGUCAAUCUUAAAAGAUGUCCAGUUCUUGGUCCUGAAUCAUGAAACUUUUCGAUUAUAGUUUUGUGUGGGUUUGUACACCCCCGGCCUGUAGGCUACCUGCAGAUGAAUAACCGUGCAUGUGCUGCAUCAUGAAACAUGAAUUAUAGCAUGUCUAUUGUCUCAGCAGUAUUCGCAACUGGUGCGUCAGCAUCUGACAGAGGAGUGAUACUAGACCGCAGACUACAAGAUCAUGUCAUUACUCAUUACCAUCAUCAAGCAAUGAGCUUCCUGAGCUCAUACUAUUUGCUGCAUUGCACUAUAAUGCUGGAAUACAGUCUCCAUCUAUAUGUUGCCAACAUGUAAAAUUUUCUAUAUUGAAGCCAUUUAACCUGUUUUAAAUGCUGA
Molecule: RNA transcript, 1468 nt
Organism: Daucus carota subsp. sativus
Lineage: Eukaryota; Viridiplantae; Streptophyta; Magnoliopsida; Apiales; Apiaceae
Gene name: phosphatidylglycerophosphate phosphatase 1, chloroplastic/mitochondrial-like
Exons: 5
Source: RefSeq, a predicted model, not a curated record